CGGUAGGUAAGAGUAACGCAAUUGGGAAACGGACCGCGAGCCGAGCCGGUAAAUUAAGCCACUAAGGUCAAUAAUGACAUCGACAAAGCAGCUUCACGCGCUCAUCCCGGCGACCUGCCUCCUACACUCGCGGCUCAUUCGGCCGGCGCUCUCCUCCCACCGACGCGACCUCUCUCUUAACACCUCUCCCUCUCUCUCUCACAAAACCAACCACAACCCCAAACCCCCCAAUUUCACAGCUCCGUUCCCGAUGGGCGACCUAACGGAAUCCUCGCUCACGCCGUCAACCACCACCCCCAAUUCCUCCUCAAACCCUAGGCCCAUGCCCGUCCGCGAGGACUGCUGGAGCGAAGACGCCACCUCGACUCUCAUCGACUCCUGGGGCAGCCGUUACCUCGAGCUCAACCGCGGCAACCUCCGCCAGAAGGACUGGCAGGAGGUCGCCGACGCCGUCAACGCCCUCCACGGCCACACCAAGAAGACGCACCGUACGGACGUCCAGUGCAAGAAUCGAAUUGAUACUAUCAAGAAGAAGUACAAGGUCGAGAAGGCUAGGGUUUCUGGAGGAUUGACCUCUUCCUGGCCUUUUUUCGAUCGCCUCGACGCUCUCAUCGGAUCUAACGUCAAGAAGCCCUCGCCGUCGUCGCUCUCGCCUUCGCCGCCGGUCGCGGUUCCGCUGCCGCUGGCGUACCGGAAGCCUUCGCCGGCGAGGCCGGUCGUGACGGCCGUGGCUCUGCCGCAGAAGAGGUCGGCGUCCGCGGCGGCGAUGAACG
Molecule: long non-coding RNA, 773 nt
Filed under: Rosa chinensis
Lineage: Eukaryota; Viridiplantae; Streptophyta; Magnoliopsida; Rosales; Rosaceae
Description: sRNA RchiOBHm_Chr5g0010851
Source: RNAcentral